This 461-nucleotide ribosomal RNA is filed under the name uncultured bacterium. RNAcentral's name for it is "bacterial SSU rRNA". It matches the Rfam family "Bacterial small subunit ribosomal RNA", at positions 338 to 795 of the family's 1533-position model. The record is from RNAcentral.
CCUACGGGGGGCAGCAGUGGGGAAUUUUGCGCAAUGGGCGAAAGCCUGACGCAGCAACGCCGCGUGUGUGAUGAAGGCCCUUGGGUUGUAAAGCACUGUGGGCAGGGAAGAAAAAACGGGGGUUGUACUCCGUCUUGACGGUACCUGUUUAGAAAGCACCGGCUAACUCCGUGCCAGCAGCCGCGGUAAUACGGAGGGUGCAAGCGUUGUUCGGAAUUAUUGGGCGUAAAGGGCGUGUAGGUGGCUUACCAAGUCUGUUGUGAAAUCCCACGGCUCAACCGUGGAACUGCAAUGGAAACUGGUGAGCUCGAGUGUUGGAGGGGGUCGCGGAAUUCCCGGUGUAGAGGUGAAAUUCGUAGAUAUCGGGAGGAACACCAGUGGCGAAGGCGGCGACCUGGCCAAAUACUGACACUGAGACGCGAAAGCGUGGGUAGCAAACAGGAUUAGAUACCCUUGUAGUC